GACGAACGCUGGCGGCGUGCUUAACACAUGCCAGUCGAACGGAAAGGCCCUGCUUUUGUGGGGUGCUCGAGUGGCGAACGGGUGAGUAACACGUGCGUAACCUGCCCUUGACUUUGGGAUAACUUCAGGAAACUGGGGCUAAUACCGGAUAGGAGCUCCUGCUGCAUGGUGGGGGUUGGAAAGUUUCGGCGGUUGGGGAUGGACUCGCGGCUUAUCAGCUUGUUGGUGGGGUAGUGGCUUACCAAGGCUUUGACGGGUAGCCGGCCUGAGAGGGUGACCGGCCACAUUGGGACUGAGAUACGGCCCAGACUCCUACGGGAGGCAGCGGUGGGGAAUAUUGCACAAGGGGCGGAAGCCUGAUGCAGCAACGCCGCGUGCGGGAUGACGGCCUUCGGGUUGUAAACCGCUUUCGCCUGUGACGAAGCGUGAGUGACGGUAAUGGGUAAAGAAGCACCGGCUAACUACGUG
This 468-nucleotide ribosomal RNA is filed under the name uncultured bacterium. Its description in RNAcentral is "partial 16S ribosomal RNA". It matches the Rfam family "Bacterial small subunit ribosomal RNA", at positions 28 to 507 of the family's 1533-position model. The record is from RNAcentral.